Molecule: unclassified non-coding RNA, 375 nt
Filed under: uncultured Bacteroidota bacterium
Lineage: Bacteria; Pseudomonadati; Bacteroidota
Description: uncultured Bacteroidetes bacterium contains 16S-23S intergenic spacer region
Source: RNAcentral
UCACUGCUUGCGCAGGCAGUCCCCCUAGAGUCCCCGGCUUGACCCGCUGGUAACUAGGGAUAGGGGUUGCGUUCGUUGCGGGACUUAACCCAACAUCUCACGACACGAACUGACGACAGCCAUGCAGCACCUCACCGCCGGCCCUUUCGGGAGGCCCCCUUUCAGGGGCGGUCCGGCGGCGUUCGAGCCCAGGUAAGGUUCCUCGCGUUGCAUCGAAUUAAGCCACAUGCUCCACCGCUUGUGCGGGCCCCCGUCAAUUCCUUUGAGUUUCACCCUUGCGAGCGUACUCCCCAGGUGGGACGCUUAUCGCGUUAGCUUAGGCGCUCGGGGGAACCCCCCGAACACCGAGCGUCCAUCGUUUAGGGCGUGGACUAC